CCUACGGGUGGCAGCAGUGGGGAAUAUUGGGCAAUGGGCGCAAGCCUGACCCAGCAACGCCGCGUGAAGGAAGAAGGCUUUCCGGUUGUAAACUUCUUUUGACAGGGGAGAGCAGAAGACGGUACCUGUCGAAUAAGCCACGGCUAACUACGUGCCAGCAGCCGCGGUAAUACGUAGGGGGCAGGCGUUGUCCGGCUUUCCUGGGUGUAAAGGGCGUGUUGCCGGGCUGACAAGUAAGAUGUGAAAUCCGGGGGCUCAACCCCCGAACUGCCUUUGAAACUGUUGGUCUGGAGUAUCGGAGAGGCAGGCGGAAUUCCUGGUGUAGCGGUGAAAUGCGUAGAUAUUGGGAGGAACACCAGUGGCGAAGGCGGCCUGCUGGACGAAAACUGACGGUGAGGCGCGAAAGCGUGGGGAGCAAACAGGAUUAGAUACCCUUGUAGUC
Molecule: ribosomal RNA, 442 nt
Filed under: uncultured bacterium
Lineage: Bacteria
Description: partial 16S ribosomal RNA
Rfam family: Bacterial small subunit ribosomal RNA
Source: RNAcentral